CGCGUAGGCGGGCCUUCAAGUCCGGGGUGAAAUCCUCCAGCCUAACUGGAGAAGAGCCUCGGAGACUGAGGGCCUCGAGGAGGGUAGGGGCAAGCGGAACUAUGGGUGGAGCGGUGAAAUGCAUUGAUAUCCAUAGGAACUCCGGUGGCGAAGGCGGCUUGCUGGACCCUUUCUGACGCUGAGGCGCGAAAGCCAGGGGAGCAAACGG
This 208-nucleotide ribosomal RNA is filed under the name uncultured bacterium. RNAcentral describes it as "partial 16S ribosomal RNA". It matches the Rfam family "Bacterial small subunit ribosomal RNA", at positions 568 to 775 of the family's 1533-position model. The record is from RNAcentral.